Molecule: ribosomal RNA, 301 nt
Filed under: uncultured bacterium
Lineage: Bacteria
Description: partial 16S ribosomal RNA
Rfam family: Bacterial small subunit ribosomal RNA
Source: RNAcentral
CAGUCGCCGCGGUAAUACGGAGGGUGCAAGCGUUAAUCGGAAUUACUGGGCGUAAAGCGCACGCAGGCGGUCUGACAAGUCAGAUGUGAAAUCCCCGGGCUUAACCUGGGAACUGCUUUUGAAACUGUCAGGCUGGAGUCUUGUAGAGGGGGGUGGAAUUCCAGGUGUAGCGGUGAAAUGCGUAGAGAUCUGGAGGAAUACCGGUGGCGAAGGCGGCCCCCUGGACAAAGACUGACGCUCAGGUGCGAAAGCGUGGGGAGCAAACAGGAUUAGAUACCCCGGUAGUCCCUGUCUCUUAUAC